Small nucleolar RNA from Tachyglossus aculeatus (Australian echidna), 138 nucleotides. NCBI's taxonomy places the organism in Eukaryota, Metazoa, Chordata, Mammalia, Monotremata, Tachyglossidae. The record is from RefSeq and is a predicted model, not a curated record.
CCCUUCUCCAGGUUGCACCUGGAGAGUUUCCAGAACUCUACAAGUCUGGGCUAUGGGAAGGAAAGUCAAGCAGAGGCACACCUGUUCCAUUCCUAGCUUGGGCAGUGGCUAGAGAGUGGAAGACAAUCUGCUACAAGU